UACGUAGGGUGCAAGCGUUGUCCGGAAUUAUUGGGCGUAAAGAGCGUGUAGGCGGCCCGAUUAGUCCGCUGUGAAAGUCCAGGGCUCAACCCUGGAAAGCCGGUGGAAACUGUCAAGCUUGAGUCCGGAAGAGGCGAGUGGAAUUCCUGGUGUAGCGGUGAAAUGCGCAGAUAUCAGGAGGAACACCAAUGGCGAAGGCAGCUCGCUGGGACGGUACUGACGCUGAGACGCGAAAGCGUGGGGAGCAAACAGG
Molecule: ribosomal RNA, 253 nt
Filed under: uncultured bacterium
Lineage: Bacteria
Description: partial 16S ribosomal RNA
Rfam family: Bacterial small subunit ribosomal RNA
Source: RNAcentral